This 506-nucleotide ribosomal RNA is filed under the name uncultured bacterium. Its description in RNAcentral is "partial 16S ribosomal RNA". It matches the Rfam family "Bacterial small subunit ribosomal RNA", at positions 28 to 523 of the family's 1533-position model. The record is from RNAcentral.
GAUGAACGCUAGCUACAGGCUUAACACAUGCAAGUCGAGGGGUAACGAGAGGAAAGCUUGCUUUCCUUGUCGACGACCGGCGCACGGGUGAGUAACGCGUAUCCAACCUGCCCCCAACUAGGGAAUAACCUUGCGAAAGUAAGACUAAUACCCUAUAAUUUCCUCAGAUGUCAUCUGACGAGGACUAAAGAUUUAUCGGUUGUGGAUGGGGAUGCGUCUGAUUAGCUUGUUGGCGGGGUAACGGCCCACCAAGGCAACGAUCAGUAGGGGUUCUGAGAGGAAGGUCCCCCACAUUGGAACUGAGACACGGUCCAAACUCCUACGGGAGGCAGCAGUGAGGAAUAUUGGUCAAUGGGCGGAAGCCUGAACCAGCCAAGGAGCGUGCAGGAUGACGGCCCUAUGGGUUGUAAACUGCUUUUAUACAGGAAUAAAGUUAGCCACGUGUGGUUAUUUGUAGGUACUGUAUGAAUAAGGACCGGCUAAUUCCGUGCCAGCAGCCGCCGUAA